This 93-nucleotide transfer RNA is filed under the name Pseudomonadota bacterium. Its description in RNAcentral is "tRNA-Ser". It matches the Rfam family "tRNA". From Rfam's summary of the family: Transfer RNA (tRNA) molecules are approximately 80 nucleotides in length. Their secondary structure includes four short double-helical elements and three loops (D, anti-codon, and T loops). Lineage: Bacteria; Pseudomonadati; Pseudomonadota. The record is from RNAcentral. RNAcentral also lists the same sequence under 2 other names.
GGAGAGAUGGCCGAGAGGCCGAAGGCGCUCCCCUGCUAAGGGAGUACGUGGUCAAAAGCUGCGUCGAGGGUUCGAAUCCCUCUCUCUCCGCCA